CACGCAUCGUAGUCCAUCUAAAGCUCCACCUUAUGUCCAAUUGCCGGCAUUUUCUGACCAGGCAGCAGAAGUGUCGACACACCAUGUAAAAGAGGAACUCUCUCUGCUUUUGGGGUUUUCUUUUUUCUUUUUUUCUUCAUUUAGAAGAAGUGAUCACAUACAAAGAGAUGCUAUACUGCACUUCAGUAAUCCACACGCACACAAACACACACACACACACACACACACACACACACACACAUCUUCCUCCCAACACACACGCGCACACACUCACACAUAGGAGGAAGUGUCUACAAUCGCUACAUCUCUGAGUCAGACACACUGACUGGACUCAGACCAGUGUAGACACUGUGAGAAUACCAGGGAAAAACAUGGAAUAAAGGAAUGCCAACAGGGGAUUAAAGUUAAAGAAAAUGAAAGGUUCCCAUGGAGUUGCUAAACUCUUGAAAAUACUUCCUUCCUGAAAACCUGCUAGCAUCCCACUCCAGCCAGGAUGAUGCCUGUGAGGAUGCUGUUAGUGUCAGUGCUUCCUCUGCUGGUGCAGAGCUCAGAGAUCCAGCAGGGCUCUUUUCUCAGUACAACCCAAGAUAUGCCUCCUGCGUUGGACUCCGUGGAGUGCUACAAUGACUACACAAGCCACAUACGCUGCACUUGGGAGGAGUACCCACAUGGAAAUUCAAAUUUGGUGGUAGAAGGAAGGUAAGUAGGGCUCUAAAAAUAUAGGAUAUAGGGUUUAAUGGGAAAGCCAUUCACUAACAUCAAUAAAUUGAAUUCUAGACUGCUUUAAAAGGAGGAC
RNAcentral lists this long non-coding RNA (796 nucleotides) under Astyanax mexicanus (Mexican tetra). Its description in RNAcentral is "lncRNA (ENSAMXG00005008446.1)". Lineage: Eukaryota; Metazoa; Chordata; Actinopteri; Characiformes; Acestrorhamphidae. The record is from RNAcentral.